CAGCACCUCAAGUGGUCAGGAUGAUUAUUGGGCCUAAAGCAUCCGUAGCCGGCGCUGUAAGUUUUCGGUUAAAUCUGUACGCUCAACGUACAGGCUGCCGGGAAUACUGCAGCGCUAGGGAGUGGGAGAGGUAGACGGUACUCGGUAGGAGGGGGUAAAAUCCUUUGAUCUAUUGAUGACCACCUGUGGCGAAGGCGGUCUACCAGAACACGUCCGACGGUGAGGGAUGAAAGCUGGGGGAGCAAACCGGAUUAGAUACCCGUGUAGUCC
RNAcentral lists this ribosomal RNA (270 nucleotides) under uncultured archaeon. Its description in RNAcentral is "partial 16S ribosomal RNA". It matches the Rfam family "Archaeal small subunit ribosomal RNA", at positions 477 to 747 of the family's 1478-position model. The record is from RNAcentral.